GCUCAUUUGACACCUGGGCAGAUAAUUUUUUUUAACAUCCACCUCCUCUAAAUAAUAUUAUUUUCAGUAACAGCCAUGAAAUACAGUGAAUUAAUACUAGUGAUAAUGACCAGAAAAGAAAUAUACAUGGAACCCUUUUAUUGAACUUGGUAUAUAGACUUUUUUUUUUUUAGUUGUAGUCGUACACGAUAUAUUUAUUUAUUUAUUUAUUUAUUUAUUUUUAUGUGGUGGUGAGGAUCGAACCCAGGGCCUCACACAUGCUAUGUGAGCACUUUGCCACUGAGCUACAGCCCCAGCCUGGUAUAUAGACUCUUGCCAGUAAAAAUAAAUAUUACAGUGCAAAAAGCAGAACAGAGCUAAUAGAUCAAUACUUUUCAAUUACCUUAAUGUAUUUAUUUGAAGAAAUUGUAAAACAUACACACAUGGUGGCCUGUUGCAAUAAUAAUUCAUUAAUUAUGUUAUACUUUAAAAGCAAGUGAGAAAAAUAUCAAUUGAAAAAUAAGAGAUGCAGCCUGGGGAUAUAGCUUAGAGAUGGAGUACUUGCCUAGCAUAAUGUGUGAAGCUCGGAAUUCAGUCUCCAGUGGAACACACGCACACACACACACUAGGGCUGGGGGUGUGGCUGAGUGCUUACCUAGCAUGCACACAAGGCCCUGGGCUAAAUUCCCAGCAAAACAAAAACAAAAUGAAAGAGCCGUACCAGACAGGCAGGUAGCACAACCCUGUAAUCCCAGCUUCUCAGGAGCCUGAGGCAGGAGGAUUGCAAGUUUGAGGCUAGCCUGGGAAAUUUGGUGAGAACCUACCUCAAACAAGGCUAGAGAUGCAGCUGGAUGGUAGAGUGCCCCUGGGUUCAAUCCCUAGUACCACAAUCAAUC
Molecule: long non-coding RNA, 875 nt
Filed under: Marmota monax (woodchuck)
Lineage: Eukaryota; Metazoa; Chordata; Mammalia; Rodentia; Sciuridae
Source: RNAcentral